This 1000-nucleotide long non-coding RNA is filed under the name Cyanistes caeruleus (blue tit). Its description in RNAcentral is "lncRNA (ENSCCEG00000019330.1)". The record is from RNAcentral. Lineage: Eukaryota; Metazoa; Chordata; Aves; Passeriformes; Paridae.
CCCUUCUGUGUCAAUCAUUUGUCCCUCGAGUCCCCACUGGUUAGUGCAUCUUGCUCCCUCCCUCUUUGUAUCCCCAUUGGCCCUGAAUUUGUGAUCCCCUCCCCUUAACUCCUCCCCUCGAGAUUCCCCAUUGGUCCAUGGUUUGUACCCGCCCCUGGAGAUCAGGCUGUACUUAACUGCCUGCACAGGAGGGUUUGGGGUUUUCUCUGACUUGACUCCUUCGUGUGUGGGUCCCAUGUUUUCCCCAGCCUAAUAAAACCAUUGCUGUGAACUUAAAUCCAAGAGAGGCUCCUCUACUUUCUUACCUCCACCCCGACGCCGUGCACCGCAGAGCUUGGGGCGGCCCAAGACCCUGGAGGUUUCGCUGAGGGAAAAGCCUGAUCCCCAGUGAUUCCCCACUCCUGGCUCUUGCCUGCAUCGGACUGCAAAAGAACACCACGGAGCUAGCCGGAGCUGUGGUGCAGUACUGUGUCAACCCAGGGGAAAAAAACAAAUCCAAACAACACCGCAAAAGAACAGCACAAGAAUUUGAAAAGCUUUCUCUGACUUUUAAGCCAAGUGUUCUGAUGGCUACCAAGUAUAGCCCCUGAAGAUGGAGGUGGGUUUCUCCUGUGGUUCAAGUGCUAACCUAGGACUCAGAAGAGAAGUGUUCAAUGUCCUGCUGUGCUACAGACUUCUGGAGCAAGAAGUGUGAUAUUUCAUUUCAUCACCUCUGACAAAGGCAUCAUUUCAUCUGUAUUCUAGGGAUUUUAUUCAGGUAAACAAAUGUAAAUAUUAAUGUCCUUAAGAAGAUUGCAUUUAAGGUAUACUUAUGUAAGAAUUUAUCAACAUGCUUCUAUAUUUAAUAAUUUUAGAUAAAAACUGUAGCUUUUAUUCAAGUUUACAGUUUUCACUAUACUAGGAAUUUUCCUUGACUAUGUAUGAAAAAAAAAUAAUCAUUACCCUGGAACUUAACAAGAUACAUUUAUUCCUGUGUUAUGGUAAAGGAGGAAGUUCAGUU